UGUUCAGGGUGCAGUUCCACACCUGCGCCAUCCACGACCUCGGGGUGGUGUUUGGGAAAAACGAGCUGGAUGAGACCUUCAAAGGUAACGGCUCUCCGGAUGAAAGGUUCCCAGAAUAUGGGAAGGUGGAGUUUGUUUUCUCAUAUGGACCAGAAAAAAUCAAAGGCCUGGGCCACCUGGAGAACGGGCCGA
This is a long non-coding RNA of Perca fluviatilis (European perch), 192 nucleotides long. RefSeq lists it as uncharacterized. The record is from RefSeq and is a predicted model, not a curated record. The transcript is spliced from 3 exons. Lineage: Eukaryota; Metazoa; Chordata; Actinopteri; Perciformes; Percidae.